RNAcentral lists this unclassified non-coding RNA (391 nucleotides) under soil metagenome. Its description in RNAcentral is "partial contains 5.8S ribosomal RNA, internal transcribed spacer 2, and large subunit ribosomal RNA". The stretch from base 1 to 122 matches the Rfam family "5.8S ribosomal RNA", at positions 35 to 154 of the family's 154-position model. The record is from RNAcentral.
GAUGAAGAACGCAGCGAAAUGCGAUACUUGGUGUGAAUUGCAGAAUCCCGUGAACCAUCGAGUCUUUGAACGCAAGUUGCGCCCGAAGCCAUUAGGCCGAGGGCACGCCUGCCUGGGCGUCACACGCCGUUGCCCCCCCAUCUACUCCUUCGGGAUUGCGGGGGGCGGAUGAUGGCCUCCCGUGCGCCUCGUCGCGCGGUUGGCAUAAAUGCCAAGUCCUCGGCGACACACGCCACGACAAUCGGUGGUUGCGAAACCUCGGUUGCCCGUCGUGUGCGGUCGUCGCGCAUCGAGGGCUCGAAAAAAUUGCCGGGCUCCGGCUCGGCUUUCAACGCGACCCCAGGUCAGGCGGGGUUACCCGCUGAAUUUAAGCAUAUCAAUAAGCGGAGGA